GACGGGUGAGAAUCCCGUCCACCGAUUGACUAAGGUUUCCAGAGGAAGGCUCGUCCGCUCUGGGUUAGUCGGGUCCUAAGCUGAGGCCGACAGGCGUAGGCGAUGGAUAACAGGUUGAUAUUCCUGUACCACCUAUAAUCGUUUUAAUCGAUGGGGGGACGCAGUAGGAUAGGCGAAGCGUGCGAUUGGAUUGCACGUCUAAGCAAUAAGGCUGAGUAUUAGGCAAAUCCGGUACUCGUUAAGGCUGAGCUGUGAUGGGGAGAAGACAUUGUGUCUUCGAGUCGUUGAUUUCACACUGCCGAGAAAAGCCUCUAGAUAGAAAAUAGGUGCCCGUACCGCAAACCGACACAGGUAGUCAAGAUGAGAAUUCUAAGGUGAGCGAGCGAACUCUCGUUAAGGAACUCGGCAAAAUGACCCCGUAACUUCGGGAGAAGGGGUGCUCUUUAGGGUUAACGCCCAGAAGAGCCGCAGUGAAUAGGCCCAAGCGACUGUUUAUCAAAAACACAGGUCUCUGCUAAACCGUAAGGUGAUGUAUAGGGGCUGACGCCUGCCCGGUGCUGGAAGGUUAAGAGGAGUGGUUAGCUUCUGCGAAGCUACGAAUCGAAGCCCCAGUAAACGGCGGCCGUAACUAUAACGGUCCUAAGGUAGCGAAAUUCCUUGUCGGGUAAGUUCCGACCCGCACGAAAGGCGUAACGAUUUGGGCACUGUCUCAACGAGAGACUCGGUGAAAUCAUAGUACCUGUGAAGAUGCAGGUUACCCGCGACAGGACGGAAAGACCCCGUGGAGCUUUACUGUAGCCUGAUAUUGAAAUUCGGCACAGCUUGUACAGGAUAGGUAGGAGCCUUUGAAACGUGAGCGCUAGCUUACGUGGAGGCGCUGGUGGGAUACUACCCUAGCUGUGUUGGCUUUCUAACCCGCACCACUUAUCGUGGUGGGAGACAGUGUCAGGCGGGCAGUUUGACUGGGGCGGUCGCCUCCUAAAAGGUAACGGAGGCGCUCAAAGGUUCCCUCAGAAUGGUUGGAAAUCAUUCAUAGAGUGUAAAGGCAUAAGGGAGCUUGACUGCGAGACCUACAAGUCGAGCAGGGUCGAAAGACGGACUUAGUGAUCCGGUGGUUCCGCAUGGAAGGGCCAUCGCUCAACGGAUAAAAGCUACCCCGGGGAUAACAGGCUUAUCUCCCCCAAGAGUUCACAUCGACGGGGAGGUUUGGCACCUCGAUGUCGGCUCAUCGCAUCCUGGGGCUGUAGUCGGUCCCAAGGGUUGGGCUGUUCGCCCAUUAAAGCGGUACGCGAGCUGGGUUCAGAACGUCGUGAGACAGUUCGGUCCCUAUCCGUCGUGGGCGUAGGAAAUUUGAGAGGAGCUGUCCUUAGUACGAGAGGACCGGGAUGGACAUACCUCUGGUGUACCAGUUGUCGUGCCAACGGCAUAGCUGGGUAGCUAUGUGUGGACGGGAUAAGUGCUGAAAGCAUCUAAGCAUGAAGCCCCCCUCAAGAUGAGAUUUCCCAACUUCGGUUAU
This 1516-nucleotide ribosomal RNA is filed under the name Staphylococcus aureus. RNAcentral's name for it is "bacterial LSU rRNA". It matches the Rfam family "Bacterial large subunit ribosomal RNA", at positions 1316 to 2830 of the family's 2925-position model. Lineage: Bacteria; Bacillati; Bacillota; Bacilli; Caryophanales; Staphylococcaceae. The record is from RNAcentral.